This 240-nucleotide ribosomal RNA is filed under the name uncultured bacterium. Its description in RNAcentral is "partial 16S ribosomal RNA". It matches the Rfam family "Bacterial small subunit ribosomal RNA", at positions 15 to 245 of the family's 1533-position model. The record is from RNAcentral.
GAUCAUGGCUCAGAUUGAACGCUGGCGGCAGGCUUAACACAUGCAAGUCGAACGGUAACAUGUAAAGAAGCUUUGCUUCUUUGAUUGACGAGUGGCGGACGGGGUGAGUAAUGGCUUGGGAAUCUAGCUUAUGGAGGGGGAUAACUACGGGAAACUGUAGCUAAUACCGCGUAGUAUCGAGAGAUGAAAGUGUGGGACCUUCGGGCCACAUGCCAUAGGAUGAGCCCAAGUGGGAUUAGG